Molecule: ribosomal RNA, 253 nt
Filed under: uncultured bacterium
Lineage: Bacteria
Description: partial 16S ribosomal RNA
Rfam family: Bacterial small subunit ribosomal RNA
Source: RNAcentral
UACGUAGGGGGCAAGCGUUGUCCGGAUUCAUUGGGCGUAAAGAGCGUGUAGGCGGCCAGGUAGGUCGGUUGUGAAAACUGGAGGCUCAACCUUCAGAGGUCGACCGAAACCAUCUGGCUAGAGUCCGGGAGAGGAGAGUGGAAUUCCUGGUGUAGCGGUGAAAUGCGCAGACAUCAGGAAGAACACCCGUGGCGAAAGCGGCUCUCUGGAACGGUACUGACGCUGAGACGCGAAAGCGUGGGGAGCGAACAGG